AUGUGGGAUUCAGUGAAUCCUACGACCGAUGAGCUUAUUAGCCUAGAUAUGAUACUGAUGGAUGAGCAGGUAAAGGAAAUAAAAGGAUCUUCGGAAGUUUUCCCAGAAUAUUGCUUCGAGUUUGCUACCAUGGACACACUAGAAGAAAGGGCGGAAAAAGAUACACAAUGCUCAGAUGUCAUUGGACUACUAACUCAAAUGAAGCCAGUGGAGACAAGAAUAACAAAAAGGAACCCACAACCUUCAUAUAUCCGCGAGAUUGAAAUCCUAAUGCCAGAGGGUGAUAAAAUCAGAAUCAAGUUGUGGGGAAAGUUUGCUUAUUUUUUGACCGAGGAUGUAAUCGGCAGCCAAACUGUCCUUAUUAUCACAUCAACGAUGGUGUAG
This 384-nucleotide ribosomal RNA is filed under the name Triticum aestivum (bread wheat). Its description in RNAcentral is "partial small subunit ribosomal RNA". The record is from RNAcentral. Lineage: Eukaryota; Viridiplantae; Streptophyta; Magnoliopsida; Poales; Poaceae.